UGCCACAAUAUGGGUGACCUCAUG
This 24-nucleotide non-coding RNA is filed under the name Mus musculus (house mouse). Lineage: Eukaryota; Metazoa; Chordata; Mammalia; Rodentia; Muridae. The record is from RNAcentral.